GUUUUCUUACCAUUUGCCUAUUGUGAAAACUAUGUCGCGGGUGAAAAUGUAUUUUUUGAUCACGGGUUGCAGGUUUUUGGACUACUAAGUUCCACUGUGGCCGGCAUGGCAUUUCUCUUUUAUAUAUAUUUCACUGACCUGCUGCUGCUAUCAGGCAGUGAGGCCGGCUGUUGCUGAGUGAGUGGUGUGGAGGGCCGGAGAGGUGUGUGUUGAGAGUGCACUGCAGCAUAGUCCACUAUUGGCUGACUCACAUGAGUGAGAGGAGACCGAGCAGCACAAGCUGUGAACUUUUUACCAGUUGUAGAAUCUGCAAUGAUGUCACUGUCGGGGAUCAUCUCCUUUUCCCCAGGCCAUGGCACAGAUCCUGUGCAUCAGCCUCCAUUGUAGACAUCCGGCAGAGUGUGUAGGCUCUCUGACUCCCCUGUAUAUUAAUAGCUAUGGAGAAGAAGCCACGGGCCACGCGAUUGGCUCCCACGUCACCCAACUCCACACUUGUUCAGCCAAUGAGGAAAGAGCUCCUUCACUGAGCCUGCUCUGUAAGCCUCGGUGCUGUGGGUUGCAGUGCUCACCAUUCCUGCACCUCAUGACUUCCGUCUGCUAACCGGUGGUCGUCUGAAACCGAACUCAUGGGAAAGCUGCUUGUUAGGCUAUAAGGAUAACAUAGGCUAUAAUUAGGACAAUGUAUAUACAUGUGCAAUGUGUAAAAGGGAAGGUGAUCGUUGUAGGGAAUAAGGAGAUCUAGUUGUGAUUCAUUUCUCUACUCAUCCCCCUUUAUGAGGUGUCUCUUUAUCCAAGACCCACAUGAUACUUGCUGACAGACAAAUAUAAAUGACUUAAUUUAUUCUCCUUUUCCACAUGGCUGUUUUAGUAUCACAACACUUCCCUAGAUCAAUGAAUGAUUUACUCAUCUCCACUGCUUGUCUUUGUUUUCACACUUGCAGUUUGCACUCAUACAAUCAUAUUCCUUUGACAUGGUGAGUCAUUCAUCUUCUUAUGUUUGAAGGCGUUUGUCUUAUUUUAGAUUUCCAAUCUUUUAACCGCUGAGGAAUAUGUUCCUUGUGUUCUUAUUGGUACAUAGAAUGUCACUAAUCACUGAGUGAGAUAGAUAGGCUAGGCUAUGCACAUCCAAAAGUCCAGUAUCAGUACUGGACCAAUGAGAAAGCUUGCACCAUUGUUGUCUUAUGGCACAGCACAUGAAAGAACUUAUUUUCUUUAUUCCUGUCUUUUUUUUUUGUGACUUAAGUUUCUAUUUAUUUUCCACCCUUACCCACUCACCUAAGGUCGCUUGUCGUAACCCCUCCCCCGCCUCCCAUUUUCUAUCCCCUCAGAUCCGAAAACCCCUUUUUCAUCAAUUAUCGUAUUACAGCUGUUUAGUUAAACACUGGACACUGACAGACACAACAAGCCCUCCUGCCGCCCCCAACCCAUCCAAUCAUUUCCCCUGUAAUCCCAGUAGUAAUCUGAUUUCACCGUACCCUGUUGCUUAGCCCUUUGUUCACUUGUCAUUAGACUGGCACAUAAAGGGAUCGUGUCGAGUCGUGUGCUACUGCGACUAGUUUUAGAUUUAGGCUAUUUUCUCCCAACACUAUGUCAUUUUUAUUAGCUACGAAAGAGAAACUGACACCAUAUCGUUUUCGGAGAAUCUUAUUUUUCAAAUUUCAGUCUAAAGAUCAGUUCAUCAAUUUAUUUCAACAUUAGAUUCUGCUGGGUCUUGUUGUUAAGUACAUUGUCAUAGCGAACAGCGAGCUCCUUCCUUUCAAAUCAUGUCCUACUUAAUCAAGGCGCAUUAGAUUAUGUACCUGUCUUUCGGCCAUUAGAAGCCUCAGACACGUAAUCUAGUAUGACCGAGAAGCAGGCCACAGUGACCUGACCAUACUGCUUUCUUCAGGUUACUAGUGUGGUUCUUAGAUUGCAGUAGUAAGAGCAUAUGGACUUUGGAAUGUAAACAUGCAUUGUCUGUCUGUCGUGUUUGUUGUGUCCGUUACUCUGCUCCAACCGUCCUGACAUCUGCUGUAUGCAAAACUUUUGGUGGAGGAGCGGGUGAGACAAAGCUGGCUGUAAAUAAACACAGACUGUUUGCUCUCUCUAAUUCUCUCUUUCUUUCUCUCUCUCGGAGGACCUGAGCCCUAGGACCAUGUCCCAGGACUACCUGACAUGAUGACUCCUUGCUGUCCCCAGUCCAUCUGACCGUGCUGCUGCUCCAGUUUCAACUGUUCUGCCUUAUUAUUAUACGACCAUGCUGGUCAUUUAUGAACAUUUGAACAUCUUGGCCAUGUUCUGUUAUAAUCUCCACCCGGCACAGCCAGAAGAGGACUGGCCACCCCACAUAGCCUGGUUCCUCUCUAGGUUUCUUCCUAGGUUUUGGCCUUUCUAGGGAGUUUUUCCUAGCCACCGUGCUUCUACACCUGCAUUGCUUGCUGUUUGGGGUUUUAGGCUGGGUUUCUGUACAGCACUUUGAGAUAUCAGCUGAUGUACGAAGGGCUAUAUAAAUAAAUGUGAUUUGAUUUGGAAGAAAAUACAAAUGUAAACAAAAACAUAGGCUGUUUGGUUUUGGCAUCAUCGCAGGAAGAGUAAACGCUCAGGUUCAAUACGAAGCAGGUUUAGAUUCAGACAAUCUAUAUUGUUCCGUUGCUGGACAACGUGGCCGCAGCCCUAUAAAACACCUUCGUCAGCAGAUUCACAUAAAGAGAUAUGUGUCUCUUGACCUUCCCCACUGUGUAUCAUUGUAACACUACACUGAGUGGACAAAACAUUAAGAAUACCUGCUCCUUCCAUGACAUAGACUGACCAGGAGGAAGC
Molecule: long non-coding RNA, 2799 nt
Organism: Oncorhynchus tshawytscha (Chinook salmon)
Lineage: Eukaryota; Metazoa; Chordata; Actinopteri; Salmoniformes; Salmonidae
Source: Ensembl